This 440-nucleotide ribosomal RNA is filed under the name uncultured bacterium. RNAcentral describes it as "partial 16S ribosomal RNA". It matches the Rfam family "Bacterial small subunit ribosomal RNA", at positions 338 to 795 of the family's 1533-position model. The record is from RNAcentral.
CCUACGGGAGGCAGCAGUGGGGAAUAUUGCACAAUGGGGGAAACCCUGAUGCAGCGACGCCGCGUGAGUGAAGAAGUAAUUCGUUAUGUAAAGCUCUAUCAGCAGGGAAGAAAAUGACGGUACCUGAGUAAGAAGCCCCUGCUAACUACGUGCCAGCAGCCGCGGUAAUACGUAGGGGGCAAGCGUUAUCCGGAUUUACUGGGUGGAAAGGGAGCGUAGACGGCAGUGCAAGUCUGGAGUGAAAGGCGGGGGCUCAACCCCCGGACUGCUCUGGAAACUGUACGGCUGGAGUGCAGGAGAGGUGAGUGGAAUUCCUAGUGUAGCGGUGAAAUGCGUAGAUAUUAGGAGGAACACCAGUGGCGAAGGCGACUUACUGGACUGUAACUGACGUUGAGGCUCGAAAGCGUGGGGAGCAAACAGGAUUAGAUACCCCAGUAGUC